GGAAAGAUGAAAAGAACUUUGAAAAGAGAGUUAAAUAGUACGUGAAAUUGUUGAAAGGGAAACGAUUGAAGUCAGUCAUGCCAGUGGGAAUCAACUUAGAGGAAACUCUAGGUGCACUUCUUCGCAUGGCAGGUUAGUGUCGAUUUUGGAUGUCAUAAAAUGACUGGGGGAAGGUAGCUCCUUUGGGAGUGUUAUAGCCCUUGGUAGAUGUGAUGUCUGGAAUCGAGGAUUGCAACGGAUACCCUUUAGGGCUAGUCACCUGAUCUCUAAUUAGUGCUAGAUUACGGACAGCAUGCUGACCGUGAUUUAAUUAUUGGUUAAAAGGUUAGAGUGCACAUAAAUUCGUUAAGGACACUGACGUAAUGGCUUUAAACGACCCGUCUUGAAACACGGACCA
This 397-nucleotide ribosomal RNA is filed under the name Gigaspora rosea. RNAcentral describes it as "LSU rRNA". It matches the Rfam family "Eukaryotic large subunit ribosomal RNA", at positions 358 to 668 of the family's 3401-position model. Lineage: Eukaryota; Fungi; Glomeromycota; Glomeromycetes; Diversisporales; Gigasporaceae. The record is from RNAcentral.